This 187-nucleotide antisense RNA is filed under the name Hyella patelloides LEGE 07179. Its description in RNAcentral is "Hyella sp. LEGE 07179 Antisense RNA which regulates isiA expression". It matches the Rfam family "Antisense RNA which regulates isiA expression". The record is from Rfam by way of RNAcentral. Lineage: Bacteria; Bacillati; Cyanobacteriota; Cyanophyceae; Pleurocapsales; Pleurocapsaceae.
GAUAACCAAAGAUAACAGCAGGGUUUAAAGUGGGGUUAGUGAUGAGACGAACAUCUCCACCACCAGGAGCCCAGGUAUCGUAAACACCACCAAAGAACAUCGCUUUGAAGACAAGAAGGAAUGCACCUAAUCCAAGAAGAAUGAGGUGAUAACCAAUGAUGUUGGUCAUUUGGUUUUUGUCUUUCCA